Molecule: long non-coding RNA, 934 nt
Organism: Oreochromis aureus
Lineage: Eukaryota; Metazoa; Chordata; Actinopteri; Cichliformes; Cichlidae
Exons: 4
Source: RefSeq, a predicted model, not a curated record
UUAUUUUUAAAGGGUAAGCAAAAAUAAGUUUGGAAUCAAAGUUGAUAUGAGUAAAUAUUAACAGACUACAAGAAAAAGAAGAAAACUGGUGGAGGAAAAUGAGCAUACGAUCAGCUAGUUUGAGAUGAGAAACUCACUGCAAUGAAAAAAGACAUUUAUAAAAAUUUCAGAUUUUCCAUCAGACGUGGGCUAGUGCCAAGAAAAUAAACCAUAAGUGAUGACAUCGAGCAAUGACAGAAGGAAUUUUGAAUGAAAGAUAAAAUCAUUUAAGAGGAAAGAGGAAGGAAGAAUGACAAACAUCUACUGUAACUGUACAUAUUACAGUGAAAGCAGGAUGGCUUCUAACAAGCUCAGCCACUAACAGAGGAGAGAAAAAGGAGAUGGUGAAAUUAAUCUGAGGAGCCAGCUGUCUUUGUAGCCCGUGCACUUCGCUGAUGAUGUAUUCUCCUGUCGGAAAAGAGGACGAGAUGAGGAGGCCUGAUGCAGAUGCCAGCAAGGAGACUGUGUGGACGGCCUGAAAAACACAAAUGACUUAUGACCUAUGUCAAAGUUUUCAUAUUUAGUUGUUAGUUUAAACUAGUACUCUACUACAACUAUAGGAUGAUGGCAUGUAAUAAUUAUAUUGAAUAUUAGUUUGUUAAAUUUGUUUUUUUUCUUGGAAUGUCAGUCACACAGGCCAUGAGGCUGGGGAAAACUUCUAGUGUGAAACCGGUCACAAAGAGGUAAACGGUGGGUGUAAGCCACACUAAGCUAAUGCCACCUUAUUUCCAUGGUAGACAAAGGCUAAUCUACAACACUAUUGUGCUAGUUAAUAUCAUGUUAAUAAAGCUGUAGUGUCAUACUGUACCAAGGACAAUUUAAUGCUUUCAUUUUGGUCCUCACUCAUAAUUCGUAUUUUUUAAACAGAUGUGUUCGAUUGGCCUCAUUAGCUGCA